AAAUUAUAUAUAUAUAUAUAUAUAUAUAUAUAUAUAUAUAUAUAUAUAUAUAUAUAUAUAUAUAUACUAAUAUUUUUCUUAUUUAAAGAUAAAUAAGAUAUUUUGAUAAAUGAUGGUAAACACACAGCUGAUUGUAACCAAUGACUUCCAUAGUAGAAAUUAAAAAAAAGUAUGGAAUUCAAUGGGUACUAUCAACUGUGUGCUUACCAUCAUUUAUCAAUAAAUCUUCUUUUGUGUUCAUCAAAAUAAAACAUCUGAUACAUGUAGGUUUAGAACAACAUGAGGGGGAGUAACUGAUGACAGAAUUUUUGGGUGAACUAUCCCUUGAAGUGUUUUGGGCAUUCCAGAAACUACCAGUGUAGUUGUAAAAUUAUGCUGCUAAUACAUUGGAACCAUUUUCUAUGUUUAUACUCCGUAUUGCAUAUUGGCAUCUGUAAUUUCAUGUUAAAACAUCUGGAUUUCAAUACAGUUAACGUUAAAAGGACUUCAGUGACAUAAACUGUUGGGUCCUUUAUUUUUAUAACCAACUCCAAAAGAAUGGACCUCUAAAAAUGGACCAACAACUGGUAAACCAUUUUUUUAUGUAUACAUUAUCAUUUUAACUUAAAAUUGGUGAAUGCAGUUUUCAGAUAAUCUAAUCAUUUAAAAUUACAGUGCUAUUGUUGUAAUACAAUUUUAUAAUCAGGCAUUGAAUAGUGUACUGUACCAAUUAAAGCCAUUGGAAUCACUAUGGGGUGUUAGGCUAUUAGUUAUAAUUAGGUAGAUUAUUGAUUAUUCUUUACUCAUUUGUUUAUGAUGCCAACACACUAAAUGCAAAACUUUGCAAACGCUUUGAAACAUCCAGUAGAUGGAGCCAUUUCAAUAACUUGAAUGCACUUUAAAAAUGGAUGUAAUAAAAACAACACAAUUAUGCAUGGUCCCAAACUAGACACAUCUGUGUUUUUAUUGAAACAACACAUUUUGUGUUAUUUUGAACACAGCCUGUGUUGUCACUUUUAUUUUUUUAAACACAAAAUUAACACGAAAUGACACACUGUGUUAAAUAGCAUAACACACACACACACACACACACACACACACACACACACAC
Molecule: long non-coding RNA, 1090 nt
Organism: Paramisgurnus dabryanus
Lineage: Eukaryota; Metazoa; Chordata; Actinopteri; Cypriniformes; Cobitidae
Source: RefSeq, a predicted model, not a curated record